CUUCCCGCCACUUCCCGGCUCACGAGUGGGCCGACCUCAGGUCGGGGGAGGUGGGGGCGUGCUCGGGACGGUGAAGAAACUUCCGGAAGCACUGGAAGGAGAGAGGGGCUUCGGCCUGCCGGCUCCCUCCGCUGCACGCACUCGCCCUGGGGCGGACAUGGAAACACCCAGCGACCAGCCGAGCCUUGUGCCUCCCGGACUGGGAGAUGAAACCGGGGGAAAUAACCUGCGACCGCCGCCUGGUGAAGUCACAGAGACAGGCCGCCCCCAGGUCAGCGUCAGCGCGGACUCCCGAGAGACGUGCAGCCCCUGCUGCUCCCCCGACCUCCGGUCCACCUGCAGGCCCUGGGAAUCUGCUCCUGAUAGCCCGAACUUUAGAUGUUAUUUUAAUGAUUUCCAAAAGAACAAACUAGGCUUCCCUUUUCAAAUCUUUGAACCAAACUCUCUCUUUUGGCAGCUUUUGACAGAAAAUAAUAAUUUACUUUUAGUCUCUGUGGGGACAAAUGAGUAGGAGACUGUUUCCACCCGGGGAAGGCAAUGGAAUCGUAUUGUUUAGCCUGAAGUAGCUAAUUGCACUCAUUGGAAGUUAGCUGUCAUACCUGGAAUACUUGAAAUCGAUGCACAUUUUAGCAGCACAAACUGCCACCAGGCUUCUUGUGGCUGAGAGGCUGCAGAGAGAAUGGAUUCACCCCACACCUACCUAGAGGCAGCUGUUUUAACACUCUUGGCUCACAUCUGUCGUCUUAUUCCAUGAACAAGCAAGGAGGAUUUUAAAUUAGCCCAUCUACCAGGGCAAAAAAUGUGAUGGAUAUAAGUUCCUGUUUUCCUUCAUACUAGAACAGUCCAGAGAACCUAAUACCACGGCUAGCCUCACGAUCCUGCUUCAGCUUCCCAAGCAGCCGGUGCUGAAGGAGAACCUCACUGCACAGCUGGUUCUCAACCCCUGACUCAUCUAUUCAGUGCCUAACAGCUUUGCUUUUACUGCCUUGAAUCUCACCAGAGUCUUUGGUACCAUUUCUUAAAGACUCACCAGCUCCAAGAGGCCAAAGAGCUACACAGUCACUUCCCCAGAGCGAGAUGUAACCCCACUGAGGUCACUCGAGGUCACCUUUUCCAGUUCCACGCACAGUGCGAGAAGGAAGAGACUCCUUCAGGACAAAGAUGGGACUUGAGUUUCCCAGCCUCCCCUCCUCACAGGAGGCAAGACAGCCCUCCUGCCGCCCCACCUUGCUCUCUCCAAGACUCUGUAUGGAACAUAUGGUCAUCUUGGGAUGGCCUCUGGCCAAAACAAACCUAUUCUUCUGCACCUCUUACUGUAUUUCAUGUUGUCUGGUUGCCAGUUAUUUAGGAGCACAGCAGUGACCCCAGUUCCACAGUUUGUCCCCAGCUUCCUUUCCUUGGCUCACUUCCUGCCCAUCUCCUUCACCUUGUCACCUGCGUUGAGCAGAGCCCUGUAUCAGCAGCACCCCUUGCUUGUUCCUUCCUCUGAGUUUUCCUCUGCCUUGCAUGCUUUUUGUCCUCUGGGUCCAUCCACCCCUUGCAAGAAUCCUUGUCCCUCACAUCCGUGGCCAGCUCUCCCCUCAUCAGACAUAUUAGGGUCCCAUUCUCUUUUGCGUCCUCAGUGUAUUUUGGACCUGGAGAGAGUCUGCAGUUUUGUAUCUCCUGAGGCUUCAUGUCUGUUCAUCUUUCUCUUUCUCUUUCUCUGUGUCUCUGUCUCUGUCUCUCUCUCCCUCUCUCUCUCUCUCCCUCUCUCUGUCUGUGUGUACCCAUGCACAUGUGCUCAUGUCUGUGAAGGAUAACCUCAGAUAGCGUUCCCCAAGUGCUGUCCUCCUUUUUUUACAGACAAGGUCUCUCACUGGCCUAGAACUCACCAAUUAGGCUAAACUGAUUGCCAGGCCAGUGAGCCCCAGGAAUCUGCUUGUCUCUGUUUCCUUAGGACUCAGAUUACAAGUAUGUCACAAUAUCUGGCUUUUUUUUUUUUUUAAUGAGGGUUAUGAGGAUCAAACUCAGGUCGUCAUGUUUCCACAACAAGCACUUUACCACAUGAACCUAUCUCAUCAGCCCUCAACCCCCCAAUAUGAAGAUGUGCUCUUCCACAAAACAAAAGAUUUCAAUUUUGAUAACAUCCAGCUCAACAAACUCUCCUCUUAUGCAUCAUGCAUUUUCUCUUCUGCUGUUAAGCCUGAGAAUUGUUCUCCUGCCUGCUGAUUCUCAUAAAAUGUCUCCCAAGACUUUUUCCUAAUGUGCUAUAGUUUUAUGAUUUACAUUUAACUGUGGGAUCCAUUCUGGUUCACUUUUUUUUCUGGUUCAUUUUUAUAUGGAGUAUGGAGUGUAUGCCAAGUUUCAUUUCUUUGCCUGUGAAUAUUUGAUUGCCCUAGUAGCAUUUAUUGAAAAAGCUGCCAUCCUCUAUUGGAUUCUCAUUGUAACUUUGUCAAAAUGUUAUAGAACAUAUUUGUGGGCUACUAUAUGUGGGUUUUCAAGUCAGUUCCACUGAACCAUGUGUCUAGAUGCUUUGAGAGCCUGACAUGUGACUUCUGUUAUAUAAUACCUUUGGUAUAUUGUCUAGCAAACAGUGCCAUCUAACUUUGUGUGUACCACAUAGUAUGUAUGUGGAUGUGUAUAUAUGUA
This is a long non-coding RNA of Jaculus jaculus (lesser Egyptian jerboa), 2628 nucleotides long. RefSeq lists it as uncharacterized. The transcript has 3 exons. The record is from RefSeq and is a predicted model, not a curated record. Lineage: Eukaryota; Metazoa; Chordata; Mammalia; Rodentia; Dipodidae.